This 64-nucleotide transfer RNA is filed under the name Diestrammena sp. RNAcentral's name for it is "tRNA-Thr". It matches the Rfam family "tRNA". Rfam says of the family: Transfer RNA (tRNA) molecules are approximately 80 nucleotides in length. Their secondary structure includes four short double-helical elements and three loops (D, anti-codon, and T loops). Lineage: Eukaryota; Metazoa; Arthropoda; Insecta; Orthoptera; Rhaphidophoridae. The record is from RNAcentral.
GUUUUAGUAGUUUAUAAAAACAUUGGUCUUGUAAACCAAAAAUAAGAUUUUAUCUUUUAAAACU